This 294-nucleotide ribosomal RNA is filed under the name Triticum aestivum (bread wheat). RNAcentral's name for it is "partial small subunit ribosomal RNA". The record is from RNAcentral. Lineage: Eukaryota; Viridiplantae; Streptophyta; Magnoliopsida; Poales; Poaceae.
AUGGAGAGACUGAACGUGUUAAUCAGCAGGUGGACUGUUUUUUACGUGUUUCAUCAGUGCUCAUCCGAAGAAAUGGUGCAAUUGGUCUCACUUUGCGAGUUUUGGUACAAUACAGAUUGGCAUUCAGCACUUAACAACACUCCAUUGAAGUCCUUUAUGGCCAUGGUCCUCGGCACUUUGGAGUUUCUGCUUUGGAUUCAAUUGACCCCGUUGAUUUGCAACAAUGGUUGGUUGCUCGAGCAGUUGUUCAGCAGUCAGUGCGUCAGCAUCUGUUGCGUAUUCAACAAAGAAUGA